RNAcentral lists this unclassified non-coding RNA (330 nucleotides) under soil metagenome. RNAcentral describes it as "partial contains 5.8S ribosomal RNA, internal transcribed spacer 2, and large subunit ribosomal RNA". The stretch from base 1 to 120 matches the Rfam family "5.8S ribosomal RNA", at positions 35 to 154 of the family's 154-position model. The record is from RNAcentral.
GAUGAAGAACGCAUCGAAAUGCGAUAAGUAGUGUGAAUUGCAGAAUUCAGUGAAUCAUCGAAUCUUUGAACGCACAUUGCGCCCCUUGGUAUUCCAUGGGGCAUGCCUGUUCGAGCGUCAUUUGUACCCUCAAGCUUUGCUUGGUGUUGGGCGUCUUGUCGUAUUACGACUCGCCUUAAAUACAUUGGCAGCCGGCACUUUGGCCUAGGAGCGCAGCACAUUUUGCGAUCGUAGCCCGUUGUACUGGCGUCCAUCAAGAACAUUUACCACGUUUGACCUCGGAUCAGGUAGGGAUACCCGCUGAACUUAAGCAUAUCAAUAAGCGGAGGA